Molecule: non-coding RNA, 252 nt
Organism: Cinara cedri
Lineage: Eukaryota; Metazoa; Arthropoda; Insecta; Hemiptera; Aphididae
Source: the annotation of a GenBank genome assembly
CGCGACAAGGGAAAGUCAUUUGGGGAAAUCUCCAAUUCGGUUGUAGAACGCGCGUUGGUUUUACCGGUAAGUCCGGCAGAACAGCCGAAAGGAGUUUUUCGGCGACGAGAAGAAUCAAGACAUUUUCAAGGACGUCUACGACAACUGCGCGUCUUCGUGAUUUGGCGUUGAUAUCGAUUGAAAGGCGGUUCGGUUCGGAGUUAUUGCGCAGUUCUACAAAUGUUAUUGACGAGUUUGCCAAAACGAAAAACA